NAACNUUCAACAACGGAUCUCUUGGUUCUGGCAUCGAUGAAGAAGCAGCGAAAUGCGAUAAGUAAUGUGAAUUGCAGAAUUCAGUGAAUCAUCGAAUCUUUGAACGCACAUUGCNCGNGGCAGUAAUCUGCCGGCAUGCCUGUCCGAGCGUCAUUU
RNAcentral lists this ribosomal RNA (156 nucleotides) under Pseudallescheria angusta. RNAcentral's name for it is "5.8S ribosomal RNA". It matches the Rfam family "5.8S ribosomal RNA". From Rfam's summary of the family: 5.8S ribosomal RNA (5.8S rRNA) is a component of the large subunit of the eukaryotic ribosome. It is transcribed by RNA polymerase I as part of the 45S precursor that also contains 18S and 28S rRNA. The record is from RNAcentral. Lineage: Eukaryota; Fungi; Ascomycota; Sordariomycetes; Microascales; Microascaceae.